AUUGAACGCUGGCGGCAUGCCUUACACAUGCAAGUCGAACGGCAGCACGGGAGCAAUCCUGGUGGCGAGUGGCGAACGGGUGAGUAAUAUAUCGGAACGUGCCCAGUCGUGGGGGAUAACGUAGCGAAAGCUACGCUAAUACCGCAUACGAUCUAUGGAUGAAAGCGGGGGGUCGCAAGACCUCGCGCGAUUGGAGCGGCCGAUAUCAGAUUAGGUAGUUGGUGAGGUAAAGGCUCACCAAGCCGACGAUCUGUAGCUGGUCUGAGAGGACGACCAGCCACACUGGAACUGAGACACGGUCCAGACUCCUACGGGAGGCAGCAGUGGGGAAUUUUGGACAAUGGGCGCAAGCCUGAUCCAGCAAUGCCGCGUGCAGGAUGAAGGCCUUCGGGUUGUAAACUGCUUUUGUACGGAACGAAACGGUGAGCUCUAAUACAGUUUGCUAAUGACGGUACCGUAAGAAUAAGCACCGGCUAACUACGUGCCAGCAGCCGCGGUAA
This 500-nucleotide ribosomal RNA is filed under the name uncultured bacterium. RNAcentral describes it as "partial 16S ribosomal RNA". It matches the Rfam family "Bacterial small subunit ribosomal RNA", at positions 30 to 523 of the family's 1533-position model. The record is from RNAcentral.